GCCCCCGUGGCCCAAUGGAUAAGGCAGCGGAUUUCUACUCCGACGAUUGCGGGUUCGACUCCUGCCGGGGGCA
RNAcentral lists this transfer RNA (73 nucleotides) under Curtobacterium sp. Leaf261. It matches the Rfam family "tRNA". From Rfam's summary of the family: Transfer RNA (tRNA) molecules are approximately 80 nucleotides in length. Their secondary structure includes four short double-helical elements and three loops (D, anti-codon, and T loops). Lineage: Bacteria; Bacillati; Actinomycetota; Actinomycetes; Micrococcales; Microbacteriaceae. RNAcentral also lists the same sequence under 1 other name. The record is from Rfam by way of RNAcentral.